Molecule: transfer RNA, 72 nt
Organism: Oikopleura dioica
Lineage: Eukaryota; Metazoa; Chordata; Appendicularia; Copelata; Oikopleuridae
Rfam family: tRNA
About the family: Transfer RNA (tRNA) molecules are approximately 80 nucleotides in length. Their secondary structure includes four short double-helical elements and three loops (D, anti-codon, and T loops). Further hydrogen bonds mediate the characteristic L-shaped molecular structure. tRNAs have two regions of fundamental functional importance: the anti-codon, which is responsible for specific mRNA codon recognition, and the 3' end, to which the tRNAs corresponding amino acid is attached (by aminoacyl-tRNA synthetases). tRNAs cope with the degeneracy of the genetic code in two manners: having more than one tRNA (with a specific anti-codon) for a particular amino acid; and 'wobble' base-pairing, i.e. permitting non-standard base-pairing at the 3rd anti-codon position.
Source: Rfam
AGCAGAGUGGCGCAGCGGAAGCGUGCUGGGCCCAUAACCCAGAGGUCGGAGGAUCGAAACCUCCCUCUGCUA